CCCUGUUGCUGAAGAUAAGGAGGCCUCUGGGACAGGGCUGGAGAUCGUCCUUAUAGAGGACCCAAUUCCAGAGGUUUCUACCCGAGAUGCUCCUGCCCCUGUGAGGACUGAACCUGAGGGUUCUGAGGACAUUCCAUCAAAGACCGGGGACAAGCGUCCAGCCCCCCCUGGAAUAUCUGCCCCAUCUCCUGCUCGGAAGAAAUCCAGGGCUGCCGCAGGAUCUUCUCCAGCUCUUCCUUCCAUUGGGAAGGGGAAAAGUGUUCCUGUCGAGCCUUUGUUGUCUUCUUCUGACAACUUUCUGAACGCGUCGGAU
Molecule: long non-coding RNA, 313 nt
Filed under: Manihot esculenta (cassava)
Lineage: Eukaryota; Viridiplantae; Streptophyta; Magnoliopsida; Malpighiales; Euphorbiaceae
Description: long non-coding RNA (MESC_LNC010560)
Source: RNAcentral